GUAGUUUGACUCUGGCUACAGAUCACGCUGGCGGCGUGCCUCAGACAUGCAAGUCGAACGCGAAAGUCCCCUUCGGGGGACAAGUAGAGUGGCGCACGGGUGAGUAACACGUAGGUAAUCUACCUUCGGAUGGGGAAUAACAAUCGGAAACGGUUGCUAAUACCGCAUAAUGCAGCGGCACCUAAUGGUGACAGUUGUUAAAGCGGGGGAUCGAAAGACCUCGCGUCUGAAGAGGAGCCUGCGGCGGAUUAGCUAGUUGGUAAGGUAAUGGCUUACCAAGGCUACGAUCCGUAACCGGCCUGAGAGGGCGGUCGGUCACACUGACACUGACAUACGGGUCAGACUCCUACGGGAGGCAGCAGUCGGGAAUUUUGGGCAAUGGGCGAAAGCCUGACCCAGCAACGCCGCGUGAAGGAUGAAAUCCCUCGGGAUGUAAACUUCGCAAGAACGGGAAGAAUAAGCGAGAGUUAAUAUCUUUCGUGAUGACGGUACCGUUUGUAAGCUCCGGCUAACUCCGUG
RNAcentral lists this ribosomal RNA (519 nucleotides) under uncultured bacterium. RNAcentral's name for it is "bacterial SSU rRNA". It matches the Rfam family "Bacterial small subunit ribosomal RNA", at positions 9 to 507 of the family's 1533-position model. The record is from RNAcentral.